This 481-nucleotide ribosomal RNA is filed under the name uncultured bacterium. RNAcentral's name for it is "bacterial SSU rRNA". It matches the Rfam family "Bacterial small subunit ribosomal RNA", at positions 954 to 1431 of the family's 1533-position model. The record is from RNAcentral.
GCUUAACGCGAAGAACCUUACCAAGGCUUGACAUACACUAGAACACCCUAGAAAUAGGGGACUCUUUGGACACUGGUGAACAGGUGGUGCAUGGUUGUCGUCAGCUCGUGUCGUGAGAUGUUGGGUUAAGUCCCGCAACGAGCGCAACCCUCGUUCUAUGUUGCCAGCACGUAAUGGUGGGAACUCAUGGGAUACUGCCGGGGUCAACUCGGAGGAAGGUGGGGAUGACGUCAAAUCAUCAUGCCCCUUAUGUCUUGGGCUUCACGCAUGCUACAAUGGCCGGUACAAAGGGCUGCAAUACCGUAAGGUGGAGCGAAUCCCAAAAAGCCGGUCCCAGUUCGGAUUGAGGUCUGCAACUCGACCUCAUGAAGUCGGAGUCGCUAGUAAUCGCAGAUCAGCAACGCUGCGGUGAAUACGUUCCCGGGUCUUGUACACACCGAGGUCUUGUACACACCGGGUCUUGUACACACCGGAGGUCGGU